RNAcentral lists this ribosomal RNA (466 nucleotides) under uncultured bacterium. RNAcentral describes it as "partial 16S ribosomal RNA". It matches the Rfam family "Bacterial small subunit ribosomal RNA", at positions 28 to 507 of the family's 1533-position model. The record is from RNAcentral.
GAUGAACGCUGGCGGCGUGCUUAACACAUGCAAGUCGAACGGAAAGGCUCCUGCUUGCAGGGGUACUCGAGUGGCGAACGGGUGAGUAACACGUGGGUGAUCUGCCCUGCACUUCGGGAUAAGCCUGGGAAACUGGGUCUAAUACCGGAUAGGACGAUGGUUUGGAUGCCAUUGUGGAAAGUUUUUUCGGUGUGGGAUGAGCUCGCGGCCUAUCAGCUUGUUGGUGGGGUACUGGCCUACCAAGGCGUCGACGGGUAGCCGGCCUGAGAGGGUGUACGGCCACAUUGGGACUGAGAUACGGCCCAGACUCCUACGGGAGGCAGCAGUGGGGAAUAUUGCACAAUGGGCGCAAGCCUGAUGCAGCGACGCCGCGUGGGGGAUGACGGCCUUCGGGUUGUAAACUCCUUUCGCUAGGGACGAAGCGCAAGUGACGGUACCUGGAGAAGAAGCACCGGCUAACUACGUG